This 460-nucleotide ribosomal RNA is filed under the name uncultured bacterium. Its description in RNAcentral is "partial 16S ribosomal RNA". It matches the Rfam family "Bacterial small subunit ribosomal RNA", at positions 338 to 795 of the family's 1533-position model. The record is from RNAcentral.
CCUACGUGAGGCAGCAGUGAGGAAUAUUGGUCAAUGGGCGCGAGCCUGAACCAGCCAAGUAGCGUGAAGGACGACUGCCCUACGGGUUGUAAACUUCUUUUAUAGAGGAAUAAAGUGAGGCACGUGUGCCUUUUUGUAUGUACUUUAUGAAUAAGGAUCGGCUCACUCCGUGCCAGCAGCCGCGGUAAUACGGAGGAUCCGAGCGUUAUCCGGCUUUAUGGGGUUUAAAGGGAGCGUAGGUGGGUUGUUAAGUCAGUUGUGAAAGUUUGCGGCUCAACCGUAAAACUGCAAUUGAUACUGGCAGCCUUGAGUACAGUUGAGGUAGGCGGAAUUCGUGGUGUAGCGGUGAAAUGCUUAGAUAUCACGAAGAACUCCGAUUGCGAAGGCAGCCUACUAAACUGCCACUGACAUUGAUGCUCGAAAGUGUGGGUAUCAAACAGGAUUAGAUACCCCUGUAGUC